This 31-nucleotide non-coding RNA is filed under the name Mus musculus (house mouse). The record is from RNAcentral. Lineage: Eukaryota; Metazoa; Chordata; Mammalia; Rodentia; Muridae.
AGAAAGCUACUAAAUUCCUUGCUACAUCCAU